RNAcentral lists this ribosomal RNA (253 nucleotides) under uncultured bacterium. RNAcentral describes it as "partial 16S ribosomal RNA". It matches the Rfam family "Bacterial small subunit ribosomal RNA", at positions 524 to 776 of the family's 1533-position model. The record is from RNAcentral.
UACGAAGGGGGCUAGCGUUGCUCGGAAUCACUGGGCGUAAAGCGCACGUAGGCGGCUUCUUAAGUCAGGGGUGGAAUCCUGGAGCUCAACUCCAGAACUGCCCUUGAUACUGAGAGGCUCGAGUCCGGGAGAGGUGAGUGGAACUGCGAGUGUAGAGGUGAAAUUCGUAGAUAUUCGCAAGAACACCAGUGGCGAAGGCGGCUCACUGGCCCGGUACUGACGCUGAGGUGCGAAAGCGUGGGGAGCAAACAGG